RNAcentral lists this transfer RNA (87 nucleotides) under Delitschia confertaspora ATCC 74209. Its description in RNAcentral is "tRNA-Tyr". The record is from RNAcentral. Lineage: Eukaryota; Fungi; Ascomycota; Dothideomycetes; Pleosporales; Delitschiaceae.
CUCCGCUUGGUGUAGUUGGUUUAUCACGUUCGGCUGUAAUUGCAUUAUGCUACCGAAAGGUCCCUAGUUCGAUUCUGGGAGCGGAGA